UUCUAAGGGCGUUGAAGCAUGAUCGCAAGGACAUGUGGAGCGCUUAGAAGUGAGAAUGCCGGUGUGAGUAGCGAAAGACGGGUGAGAAUCCCGUCCACCGAUUGACUAAGGUUUCCAGAGGAAGGCUCGUCCGCUCUGGGUUAGUCGGGUCCUAAGCUGAGGCCGACAGGCGUAGGCGAUGGAUAACAGGUUGAUAUUCCUGUACCACCAUUAUUCGUUUUAAGCGAUGGGGGGACGCAGUAGGAUAGGCGAAGCGUGCUGUUGGAGUGCACGUCCAAGCAGUGAGAUUGAGUGUUAGGCAAAUCCGGCACUCUUAAGAUUGAGCUGUGAUGGGGAGAGGAACUUGUUCCUCGAGUCGUUGAUUUCACACUGCCGAGAAAAGCCUCUAGCUAGAAUAACGGUGCCCGUACCGCAAACCGACACAGGUAGUCAAGAUGAGAAUUCUAAGGUGAGCGAGCGAACUCUCGUUAAGGAACUCGGCAAAAUGACCCCGUAACUUCGGGAGAAGGGGUGCUCUUUGAGGUUCACGCUUCGAAGAGCCGCAGUGAAUAGGCCCAAGCGACUGUUUAUCAAAAACACAGGUCUCUGCUAAACCGUAAGGUGACGUAUAGGGGCUGACGCCUGCCCGGUGCUGGAAGGUUAAGAGGAGUGGUUAGCGCAAGCGAAGCUACGAAUCGAAGCCCCAGUAAACGGCGGCCGUAACUAUAACGGUCCUAAGGUAGCGAAAUUCCUUGUCGGGUAAGUUCCGACCCGCACGAAAGGCGUAACGAUUUGGGCACUGUCUCAACGAGAGACUCGGUGAAAUCAUAGUACCGGUGAAGAUGCCGGUUACCCGCGACAGGACGGAAAGACCCCGUGGAGCUUUACUGUAGCCUGAUAUUGAAAUUCGGUACAGUUUGUACAGGAUAGGUAGGAGCCUUAGAAGCGUGAGCGCUAGCUUACGUGGAG
This 948-nucleotide ribosomal RNA is filed under the name Staphylococcus pseudintermedius. RNAcentral describes it as "partial 23S ribosomal RNA". It matches the Rfam family "Bacterial large subunit ribosomal RNA", at positions 1239 to 2185 of the family's 2925-position model. Lineage: Bacteria; Bacillati; Bacillota; Bacilli; Caryophanales; Staphylococcaceae. The record is from RNAcentral.